UACGAAGGGGGCUAGCGUUGCUCGGAAUCACUGGGCGUAAAGCGCACGUAGGCGGCUUCUUAAGUCAGGGGUGAAAUCCUGGAGCUCAACUCCAGAACUGCCUUUGAUACUGAGGAGCUUGAGUCCGGGAGAGGUGAGUGGAACUGCGAGUGUAGAGGUGAAAUUCGUAGAUAUUCGCAAGAACACCAGUGGCGAAGGCGGCUCACUGGCCCGGUACUGACGCUGAGGUGCGAAAGCGUGGGGAGCA
This 247-nucleotide ribosomal RNA is filed under the name uncultured bacterium. RNAcentral's name for it is "partial 16S ribosomal RNA". It matches the Rfam family "Bacterial small subunit ribosomal RNA", at positions 524 to 770 of the family's 1533-position model. The record is from RNAcentral.